GCGCGAGUGGUUUAGACGUAUAACGACACUUUCUAAGCAAAUAAUUUGGAAAGCGUUAAACGCUCACACCGUGUAAAUUUUCGCUAAUUCAUGGCGUUAAUCUCGACGGUCGGGGGUUCAAAAUUCCCCCCUUGCGCA
RNAcentral lists this transfer RNA (138 nucleotides) under Promethearchaeota archaeon. Its description in RNAcentral is "Candidatus Lokiarchaeota archaeon (permafrost metagenome) tRNA-OTHER". Lineage: Archaea; Promethearchaeati; Promethearchaeota. The record is from RNAcentral.